Molecule: ribosomal RNA, 1372 nt
Filed under: uncultured bacterium
Lineage: Bacteria
Description: bacterial SSU rRNA
Rfam family: Bacterial small subunit ribosomal RNA
Source: RNAcentral
GAUGAACGCUGGCGGCGUGCCUAAUACAUGCAAGUCGAGCGAACAGAUAAGGAGCUUGCUCCUUUGAAGUUAGCGGCGGACGGGUGAGUAACACGUGGGUAACCUACCUAUAAGACUGGGAUAACUUCGGGAAACCGGAGCUAAUACCGGAUAACAUUUAGAACCGCAUGGUCCUAAAGUGAAAGAUGGUUUUGCUAUCACUUAUAGAUGGACCCGCGCCGUAUUAGCUAGUUGGUAAGGUAACGGCUUACCAAGGCGACGAUACGUAGCCGACCUGAGAGGGUGAUCGGCCACACUGGAACUGAGACACGGUCCAGACUCCUACGGGAGGCAGCAGUAGGGAAUCUUCCGCAAUGGGCGAAAGCCUGACGGAGCAACGCCGCGUGAGUGAUGAAGGGUUUCGGCUCGUAAAACUCUGUUAUUAGGGAAGAACAAAUGUGUAAGUAACUGUGCACAUCUUGACGGUACCUAAUCAGAAAGCCACGGCUAACUACGUGCCAGCAGCCGCGGUAAUACGUAGGUGGCAAGCGUUAUCCGGAAUUAUUGGGCGUAAAGCGCGCGUAGGCGGUUUCUUAAGUCUGAUGUGAAAGCCCACGGCUCAACCGUGGAGGGUCAUUGGAAACUGGGAAACUUGAGUGCAGAAGAGGAAAGUGGAAUUCCAUGUGUAGCGGUGAAAUGCGCAGAGAUAUGGAGGAACACCAGUGGCGAAGGCGACUUUCUGGUCUGUAACUGACGCUGAUGUGCGAAAGCGUGGGGAUCAAACAGGAUUAGAUACCCUGGUAGUCCACGCCGUAAACGAUGAGUGCUAAGUGUUAGGGGGUUUCCGCCCCUUAGUGCUGCAGCUAACGCAUUAAGCACUCCGCCUGGGGAGUACGACCGCAAGGUUGAAACUCAAAGGAAUUGACGGGGACCCGCACAAGCGGUGGAGCAUGUGGUUUAAUUCGAAGCAACGCGAAGAACCUUACCAAAUCUUGACAUCCUUUGAAAACUCUAGAGAUAGAGCCUUCCCCUUCGGGGGACAAAGUGACAGGUGGUGCAUGGUUGUCGUCAGCUCGUGUCGUGAGAUGUUGGGUUAAGUCCCGCAACGAGCGCAACCCUUAAGCUUAGUUGCCAUCAUUAAGUUGGGCACACUAGGUUGACUGCCGGUGACAAACCGGAGGAAGGUGGGGAUGACGUCAAAUCAUCAUGCCCCUUAUGAUUUGGGCUACACACGUGCUACAAUGGACAAUACAAAGGGCAGCUAAACCGCGAGGUCAUGCAAAUCCCAUAAAGUUGUUCUCAGUUCGGAUUGUAGUCUGCAACUCGACUACAUGAAGCUGGAAUCGCUAGUAAUCGUAGAUCAGCAUGCUACGGUGAAUACGUUCCCGGGUCU